UACGUAGGUGGCAAGCGUUCCUCGGAAUCACUAGGUGUAAAGCGCAGGUAGGAGGUUGGAUAAGUCUGUUGUGAAAGCUCCCGGCUUAACUGGGAGAGGCCAACGGAAACUAUUCGGCUGGAGUGCGGUAGAGGUAGCUGGAAUUCCCGGUGUAGCGGUGAAAUGCGUAGAUAUCGGGAGGAAUACCUAUGGCGAAAGCAGGCUACUGGACCGUCACUGACUCUGAUCUGCGAAAGCUAGGGGAGCAAACAGG
RNAcentral lists this ribosomal RNA (253 nucleotides) under uncultured bacterium. RNAcentral's name for it is "partial 16S ribosomal RNA". It matches the Rfam family "Bacterial small subunit ribosomal RNA", at positions 524 to 776 of the family's 1533-position model. The record is from RNAcentral.